Molecule: ribosomal RNA, 340 nt
Filed under: uncultured bacterium
Lineage: Bacteria
Description: partial 16S ribosomal RNA
Rfam family: Bacterial small subunit ribosomal RNA
Source: RNAcentral
CCUACGGGUGGCAGCAGUGAGGAAUAUUGGUCAAUGGGCGCGAGCCUGAACCAGCCAAGUAGCGUGAAGGAUGACUGCCCUACGGGUUGUAAACUUCUUUUAUACAGGAAUAAAGUUAGGCACGUUUGCCUUUCUGUAUGUACUUUAUGAAUAAGGAUCGGCUAACUCCGUGCGAGCAUCCACGGUAAUACGGAGGCACCGGCCGUUAUCCGGUUUUAUUGGGUUUAAGGGGAGCGUAGAGGGUUUGUUAAGUAAGUUGUGAAAGUUUGCGGCUAAACCGUAAAAUUGCAAUUGAUACUGGCAUUCUUGAGUACAGUUAGGGUAGGCGAAAUUGGGGGUG